UGGGGAAUUUUGGACAAUGGGCGCAAGCCUGAUCCAGCCAUGCCGCGUGCGGGAAGAAGGCCUUCGGGUUGUAAACCGCUUUUGUCAGGGAAGAAAUCUUCUGAGUUAAUACCUCGGGGAGGGAUGACGGUACCUGAAGAAUAAGCACCGGCUAACUACGUGCCAGCAGCCGCGGUAAUACGUAGGGUGCAAGCGUUAAUCGGAAUUACUGGGCGUAAAGCGUGCGCAGGCGGUUUUGUAAGACAGAGGUGAAAUCCCCGGGCUCAACCUGGGGACUGCCUUUGUGACUGCAAGGCUUGAGUGCGGCAGAGGGGGAUGGAAUUCCGCGUGUAGCAGUGAAAUGCGUAGAUAUGCGGAGGAACACCGAUGGCGAAGGCAAUCCCCUGGGCCUGCACUGACGCUCAUGCACGAAAGCGUGGGGAGCAAACCAGGAUUAGAUAGCCCUGGGUAGUCCACGCCCUAAACGAUGUCAACUGGUUGUUGGGAAGGUUCCUUCUCAGUAACGUAGCUAACGCGU
This 517-nucleotide ribosomal RNA is filed under the name uncultured bacterium. RNAcentral's name for it is "partial 16S ribosomal RNA". It matches the Rfam family "Bacterial small subunit ribosomal RNA", at positions 355 to 860 of the family's 1533-position model. The record is from RNAcentral.